GAUGAAGAACGUAGCGAAAUGCGAUAAGUAAUGUGAAUUGCAGAAUUCAGUGAAUCAUCGAAUCUUUGAACGCACAUUGCGCCCGCCAGUAUUCUGGCGGGCAUGCCUGUUCGAGCGUCAUUUCAACCAUCAAGCCCCCGGCUUGUGUUGGGGACCUGCGGCUGCCGCAGGCCCUGAAAAGCAGUGGCGGGCUCGCUGUCACACCGAGCGUAGUAGAUUUCAUCUCGCUCAGGGCGUGCUGCGGGUUCCGGCCGUUAAACCACCUUCAUAACCCAAGGUUGACCUCGGAUCAGGUAGGAAGACCCGCUGAACUUAAGCAUAUCAAUAAGCGGAGA
Molecule: unclassified non-coding RNA, 335 nt
Filed under: soil metagenome
Description: partial contains 5.8S ribosomal RNA, internal transcribed spacer 2, and large subunit ribosomal RNA
Rfam family: 5.8S ribosomal RNA (bases 1-120)
Source: RNAcentral